Molecule: unclassified non-coding RNA, 342 nt
Filed under: soil metagenome
Description: partial contains 5.8S ribosomal RNA, internal transcribed spacer 2, and large subunit ribosomal RNA
Rfam family: 5.8S ribosomal RNA (bases 1-120)
Source: RNAcentral
GAUGAAGAACGUAGCGAAAUGCGAUAAGUAAUGUGAAUUGCAGAAUUCAGUGAAUCAUCGAAUCUUUGAACGCACAUUGCGCCCGCCAGCACUCUGGCGGACAUGCCUGUUCGAGCGUCAUUUCAACCAUCAAGCCCCCAGGGGCUUGUGCUGGGGCCCUGCGGCUGCCCGCAGGCCCUGAAAACCAGUGGCGGGCUCGCUAGUCACACCGAGCGCAGUAGCACAUCUCGCUCAGGGCGUGCGGCGGGCUCCUGCCGUGAAACCCCCCACUGUAACCCCAAAGGUUGACCUCGGAUCAGGUAGGAAUACCCGCUGAACUUAAGCAUAUCAAUAAGCGGAGGA